Molecule: long non-coding RNA, 1362 nt
Organism: Oreochromis niloticus (Nile tilapia)
Lineage: Eukaryota; Metazoa; Chordata; Actinopteri; Cichliformes; Cichlidae
Source: Ensembl
AUGACUAUCCAGAGUUGGGACCAGGAAACAGAGUUGCAGUCUUACACGCCUCUCUGCAGCUUCUCUCCUCCUGCUACCCCCCAAAAACCCAUCUCCAUUGAGACUGUGUCAGCUCCCAAAAAGACAAAAAACAAACCAAAAACCAGCAAUAAAAAACUUAAACAUAAAAAAUCACAAAGAAAGAACAAUACAGUAUCCACAUCUGAACCAAAGAGUAAAACAGUGAAAUGUGGAUUAUUAAAUAUUAGGUCUCUCUCCUCCAAGUCUCUGUUAGUACAUGACUUAAUAAUUGAUCAACAAAUCGAUUUACUCUGCCUUACAGAAACCUGGUUGCAGCAGGAUGAGUAUGUUAGUUUAAAUGAAUCAACACCCCCGAGUCAUUCUAACUACCAGAAAUCUCGAAGCACAGGCCGAGGGGGCGGUGUGGCAGCAAUUUUUCACACCAGUCUAUUAAUUAACGAAAGACCAAGACAGACUUUUAAUUCAUUUGAAAGCCUGAUGCUUAGCCUUGUCCAACCCAGCUGUAAAACUCAGAAACCAGUCUUACUUGUUAUUAUCUAUCAUCCACCUGGGCCUUACACAGAGUUUCUGUCUGAUUUCUCAGACUUUUUAUCUGAUUUAGUGCUCAGCUCAGAUAAAAUAAUUAUUGUGGGUUAUUUUAACAUCGAUGUAGAUGCUAAAAAUGACAGCCUCAGCAUCGCAUUUAAUCUGUUAUCAGACUCAAUUGGCUUCUCUCAAAAUGUAAAAGAACCCACCCACCACUUUAAUCACACUCUAGAUCUUGUUUUAACAUAUGGCAUAGAAACUGAACAUUUAACAGUGUUUCCUGAAAACCCUCUGCUGUCUGAUCAUUUCCUGAUAACAUUUACAUUUACAAUAAUUGAUUACACAGCAGUGGGGAGUAGACUUUAUCAAAGUAGAUGUCUUUCUGAAAGUGCUGUAACUAAGUUUAAGAAUAUAAUCCACCCACUGUUAUCAUCUUCAAUGCCCUGUACCAACAUAGAGCAGAGCAGCUAUCUGAACGCUACUCCAACAGAGGUCGAUUAUCUUGUUAAUAAUUUUACCUCCUCACUACAUACGACUCUGGAUACUGUAGCUCCUGUGAAAACUAAGGGCUCAAAUCCGAAGUACCUGACUCCGUGGUAUAAUUCUCAAACACGUACUAUGGGCUCAAAAUGUGGUCAUAAAUAUUUUGUACUUGUAAAUCAGUUUUGUACUUGUAAAUCAGGAUUUGUAUGUGUAAAAAGAAUUUGUGUGUGUGUAAAAAAGAUUUGUAUGUGUAAAAAGAAUUUGUGCGUGCUAAAAAAGAUUUGUAUGUGUAAAAAAGAUUUGUGUGUGUGUAAAAAAGAUUUGUAUGUGUAA